GCGGCUGUAGCUUAGUGGUAGAAUACUUGUCUUGUACGCAAGAUUCCUGGGUUCAAUCCCCAAUACCACCA
This 71-nucleotide transfer RNA is filed under the name Heterocephalus glaber (naked mole-rat). It matches the Rfam family "tRNA". From Rfam's summary of the family: Transfer RNA (tRNA) molecules are approximately 80 nucleotides in length. Their secondary structure includes four short double-helical elements and three loops (D, anti-codon, and T loops). Lineage: Eukaryota; Metazoa; Chordata; Mammalia; Rodentia; Bathyergidae. The record is from Rfam by way of RNAcentral.